GCUAUUACCAGUGCAAGAUGGGAGUUGGUUCAAGUUGCUUUGUUAUGCCAGUGAUAGAUACACAUUCUUUUGAGAUUGCCGUGAUUACAUCAUGAAUGAUGGGUCAUGAUGCUAUGACAUUGAUUGUGUAAUUUGAGCUGGCUUUAGGAAUUGGUUUUUUUUUUUCCCUUAAUUUUUUAAAGUUCAGAUUGGCAGAAGAUGAAGGAAAGAAAGAGUUGUAAUAGAAGGGCUAUCAAGGAAAUAAUGGGGGUGAUAUAUCAGUGGAAGGGUCAAUUCAACUCCGAGGAGAUUGGAGGGACACACUUUGAUUUAAAAGAAUGAGUAACAGAGUCAAGGGACACCUCUGAUUUAAAAAAAAAUGAAUAAUAGUAUAUAUGGAAUCAAAGUAACAAAUGGUCAAGUUAUUUGACAUGAGGGAGAUUUCAUAUAGCGAAUCAGCUGUUGAUGUCCAAUGUUAGCUUCUAGCUUGCUUGUUAGGAUCUUAGUAGUCUACUAUGUAGCUCACCUGUUACCUUCCUUCAUGGGGCAUAUGUUAUAUAAUGGUGUCCCUUGGUUGUCCAGAUUAGAAUGGUAUUCAUAUCGAUUCCUUAAGUCUGUUUAAAUUUCUGGUUUCAAAUCUCUCU
Molecule: long non-coding RNA, 623 nt
Organism: Telopea speciosissima
Lineage: Eukaryota; Viridiplantae; Streptophyta; Magnoliopsida; Proteales; Proteaceae
Exons: 3
Source: RefSeq, a predicted model, not a curated record